UCUUGGUUAACACAUGCCGCAGUUUUGAC
This 29-nucleotide non-coding RNA is filed under the name Mus musculus (house mouse). Lineage: Eukaryota; Metazoa; Chordata; Mammalia; Rodentia; Muridae. The record is from RNAcentral.